Molecule: RNA transcript, 1059 nt
Organism: Sapajus apella (tufted capuchin)
Lineage: Eukaryota; Metazoa; Chordata; Mammalia; Primates; Cebidae
Gene name: prohibitin pseudogene
Exons: 1
Source: RefSeq, a predicted model, not a curated record
UGAAGUGAUUUUACCUUUAUUUCCUUCACUUUAAGCCAAUCAUGAAAUUUCACAGUGAUUUCUGGGGUGGGGGCAGAAGGGAGGCGGUGCCAAGAAUCACUGGGGCUGUGGCCCAGCCGGCCCGUGGAGGUGCUGGUAGGGGUGGGCCCUCACCGGGGCAGCUGGAGGAGCACGGACUGCCCCGCCGGUAGGUAGGUGAUGUUCCGAGAGCGUGACAACUGGUACGCGAUGUCCUCCGCGGCUUCCGGCUUGCGCAGCUCGAUCAGGCUGUCCCCUGCGGUGGCCAGUGAGUUGGCAAUCAGCUCGGCUGCCUUGGAGUCGCCCUCAGCAGAGAUGAUAGCCGCCAUGGGGGAAUUCAUGUGGAGGUCAGAGUGGAAGCAGGUGUGAGAGGGUCCAGCAGAAGAAAACAUGGCUGCCAAAGUGUUUGAGUCCAUUGGCAAGUUUGGCCUGGCCUUAGCUGUUGCAGGAGGCGUGGUGAACUCGGCCUUAUAUAAUGUGGAUGCUGGGCACAGAGCUGUCAUCUUUGUCCAAUUCUGUGGAGUACAGGACAUUGUGGUAGGGGAAGGGACUCACUUUCUCAUCCCAUGGGUACAGAAACCAAUUAUCUUUGACUGCCGUUCUCGGCCACGUAAUGUGCCAGUCAUCGCUGGUAGCAAAGAUUUACAGAAUGUCAACAUCACACUGCGCAUCCUCUUCCGGCCCGUUGCUAGCCAGCUGCCUCGCGUCUUCACCAGCAUCGGAGAGGACUAUGAUGAGCGCGUGCUGCCGUCCAUCACGACCGAGAUCCUCAAGUCAGUGGUGGCUCGCUUUGAUGCUGGAGAACCAAUCACCCAGGGAGAACUGGUCUCAAGGCAGGUGAGCGACGACCUUACGGAGCGAGGAGCCACCUUUGGGCUCAUCCUGGACGAUGUGUCCUUGACACAUCUGACCUUCGGGAAGGAGUUCACAGAAGCGGUGGAAGCCAAACAGGUGGCUCAGCAGGAAGCAGAGGGGGCCAGAUUUGUGGUGGAAAAGGCUGAGCAGAAACAUUUCUUAAAUAUAUGAAUGUAAAACAUAAAU